This 253-nucleotide ribosomal RNA is filed under the name uncultured bacterium. Its description in RNAcentral is "partial 16S ribosomal RNA". It matches the Rfam family "Bacterial small subunit ribosomal RNA", at positions 524 to 776 of the family's 1533-position model. The record is from RNAcentral.
CACGUAGGGGGCGAGCGUUGUCCGGAUUCAUUGGGCGUAAAGGGCGCGCAGGCGGCCCGGCAAGUCGGAUGUGAAAACUCGGGGCUCAACCCCGAGCGUGCACCCGAUACUGCCGGGCUUGAGGCAGGUAGGGGAGAUCGGAAUUCCUGGUGUAGCGGUGAAAUGCGCAGAUAUCAGGAGGAACACCGGUGGCGAAGGCGGACCUCUGGGCCUGUCCUGACGCUGAGGCGCGAAAGCUAGGGGAGCGAACAGG